Molecule: long non-coding RNA, 896 nt
Filed under: Equus caballus (horse)
Lineage: Eukaryota; Metazoa; Chordata; Mammalia; Perissodactyla; Equidae
Description: lncRNA (ENSECAG00000056707.1)
Source: RNAcentral
CUCCAGGCCAGUUGAGACCACCAACUCAUCAACAGGGCCCAUGCAGAUGUCCAAUAGGCAACCUUUUGACAAUAAUAGGCUAAAAACUCCACCCUCAGAUCAUCCUAACGCCACCAUUUGGUGAACAUGGGUCCUGUGUAGAGGCGUGGAGUCCGACUACGCUUGCACAGAUCAUCAGUGACCUCACCUCCCCUCACCUCCAAUCACCUACCUCCACAUUUCAGACCACCUUGACCCCAUUCCAUAAAUAUCCCUGAGCCCCUGUUUUCGGGAAAGCGAGUGUGAGGCUCAUGCUUUUGCUUCCUCACAUGGCUGCCUUGUGAUUAAAUCCUCUCUCUGCUGCCAUCUCGUCGUCUCGGUGUUUGGGUUUCUGGGCGGCAGGCAAAAUCGAACCUGUUCAGUUACAGCUUCUCGGAGAAGGUGGCUGCGGAGGGAGGACGGUACAGCCUCGGGCCUCCAGCUGCCCUGGGAUGUAGGCAAGGUACACAUUAUCCCUGCUCUGCAGAGGAGGACCCUGAGGGGUUUGGUACUUAUCUAAGGAGUCAAGUUGGGUGGACCCGUUCACUGUGGGAGGCUCCUGAUAACCAGCUCCGUAGAAUUCCACAGAAAGUCAUCGAAGCUUGGACUUAAAGGGGUGACAGUACCAUCCCUGCCCAGGCUGUCUGCAUUUUCUCAGAGACUCUGACCUGCGCUGUCAAAUACAGGAGCCACUAGGCACGUGUGGUUGUGGCUGUUGAGCCCUUGAAAUGUGGCUAGUCCAAACUGAGAUGUGUGAAGUACGUCUCGAUACAAAAUACGGAAGUUUGAAGACUUAGCACAAAACAUACAUGUGAAACAUCUCAUUAAUAAUUUUACAUUGAUUACAUGCUGAAAUGAUAAUAUUUUGGAGAUAGUAG